This 65-nucleotide ribosomal RNA is filed under the name Aspergillus flavus. Its description in RNAcentral is "partial 28S ribosomal RNA". It matches the Rfam family "Eukaryotic large subunit ribosomal RNA", at positions 1 to 62 of the family's 3401-position model. Lineage: Eukaryota; Fungi; Ascomycota; Eurotiomycetes; Eurotiales; Aspergillaceae. The record is from RNAcentral.
GGUUGACCUCGGAUCAGGUAGGGAUACCCGCUGAACUUAAGCAUAUCAAUAAGCGGAGGAAAAGA